GCAGAUUCUGUUGGGAGAACAGAAGCGCUCUCUUGAGCACUUGAUGUUGAUUAUGAUCUUUUCAUUUGCUCAAUUUAUCACUCUGGUCACAUUAGUCAUAUUGCUGCUUUUUGGCAAUGUGGCUGUGAUAAAUCGCAUUCGUCAGCAGUAAACAAGGGCAGGAUGGGGUUGAGGCCUGUUCCAUCCCCCUCUACAUUUCCAGAUCUUUCUGCUUCCUUAAUCAGAGAUUUAAAACAGGUGUCCUUUCCAGUUAAAACUGUUUUUCUUCUCCUUUGUAUGAAACAUGCUUGUUGCAUAAUGAGAAGCACAUUUACCGCAUUACUGAUUUGUUCUUCUUUUUAUUGGAUGUUAGUUUUUUUUUUUUUUUUUUUCACUUUUCCUGGCAGGUUGUGAAGCUGGACUCCUCUUAUCAAGCUAAAUAACACCUGGAGGGAAACUUUUAACACACUUCACUUAGCUCGAUCCUCAUCAAAUCUAAACGUGUUUGGCACAAAGAGUCUGUCUUCUGGAUCCUUCUUUGCCGAGCCAUGAGUCUAUAAAUGGCACUCCAAGGAAAACAGGUUUGGAGACCAAACAGGAAAGUGCUGGAUUUGUACCAGUUUCUAUGGCAGAAAGUUCCUCCUGGAUUAAAACUUUCCUGUGGUUGGAAGAAAAAAAAAAAAAAAGAAAAACUGGCUCCCACACCCACCCACCCAGACAGUACCAUCCGCACACUGAGUCUGGUAAAGGUGUGAUAUUCCACAGUCCAGAUCUGCUAUACAAUUAAGCCGCUACUGUGAUUCAACAAAAACCGCUAGCAACUGCACCGAGCCAGCUUUUGAAACGAGGUGCUUCUAUGAUGUGUUCUUCCUAGGAAUCCAGCAGUGCCGUUCAGUGGAAAGAGAGCACCAAUCCGCAAAUACAUUAACAGGACAUUGUCGCUCCGGGACUGGGAUCUGACAACUUGUUGCAGGCCGUGAGAUGAAGUGUUGGGAUUAACCCGGUCACCAAUCAGUGCUUCAGAGGAGCGCCAAAGAGCGCCACUUAGGUGCUCCACCUUUGUCAGGAUACUCAGCCAAAAUGAGUUAAUAUCCUAGAAGAUGGGGAUGAUUUUACCAUCUGUCAGGCAAAUCCGCCUGGACAGGCUGGGCUGGGGCUUUGCUGGCAGGCAGAUGAGAGGCUGCUACCACCGAAGACUAAUUAGCGCAAAUAAGCACCUCCUGAGCUCCUCAAUCCUGUGACAACUCAAGCGAAAAAUUCAGAAGACAAAGUUGGCAACAUACAGUUAAAGCACAAUCUGUACAGAGUUUUCCUCCUUUGCUUUUCUCUGUGUUUAGCCACAUAAGAUUUAACAUACUAUUUAUGCUCCUUUCAUAUUCCAUGUUGACCACAGGAAACUUUGGGUUCUCAGUUAGUCCUGCCUUCAAAUUCCUUAAAAAAUUGACAUAAAUGAGACACUUGUUGAAUAUAUAGAUAUAAAAGUAAUGUGGAUGGCAUAGCUCAGAUAAUUUGGGUUUAAAAAACUUUUAUGGUUUACUGAGUUUUAAGUAUACUACUACUCAAUAUACUAUUCAAUACUACUUUGUAUUGAGAUCCUUCUCUGACUUUUGAUUGCAGAUGUAACAGAGGCUAGCUAGUAAGAGUUGUGCAAAUAAACCUCACUCCCCUGGCCUCAAGAGGUGCAUCAGCGAUUGAUGCUAGAGGCUGCAGCCUUGUUAGCGCUCCUGCCACCCAUGCUGGAAAUGCUGGUUCGAAUCCUGCUUGGAGCGGUGUGAGUAGAACCGGAGGGGUUUCGUUGGUGCCGUGACCCGGAUGAGAGUAACGUUUAGGGGGGUGAGUGUAGUCCACGGUGGCCAGCUAGAAAGAGUUGUGCAAAUAAACCUCACUCCCCUAGCCUCAAGACAUGCAUUGACAAUAGAGGCUGUGCUCUUUAGCGUUCUUGUUAGCGCUCCUGCCUCCCAUGCCGGAAACGCUGGUUAGAAUCCCUCUCAGAGUGGUGCGAGUAAAACUGGAGGGGUUACACAGACUUUGGAGUCUGUGCACAGUUGGAAACACAUUUGAGAUCUCCUGAAACUCUAGAGAUUACUGAGGUCUGGUUCUCUGGAGAAAGAUCUUAAGCAAAAGUUUAAAUCCAUUUAAUCUCAUUGCUGUCUAGGAGAAACAAACUAGAUCUCUUGCAUUCCCAUGGGAAGUCCUUUCUGCUGUAUGCUACUCUGCUGUCUAAGACAUAAGACACUGGAUUAAAUAGUCUAAACCACAUUUAGAAUGAAUGCUAAUGGCUAAUGUUGCCGAGCCAUGGCAUUUUCCCUCCUAAUCCUCACCACAAUGAGGAUUACACAUUUUCAGUCCAUGUUUUAUCAUUGAAUUUCAAACCUAAAAACAUGACAUUGCACAGGGAGAAUGACAGUAAUACUCAUAAAUAAUAAUAAACACUCAUUUAGCAGAUUUGGACUGUUGAUCUUAAGGUCAGCAAUAAAUGAAAACUGACCCUAUGUACUUUCUUAAUACACAUUUUUGGUCAUUUUGCAUUUUUUUACCCCUUAUUUAAUAUCCUGUUUUACUCUGAAACAUGUUGGAUUAUCAAAAUUAAAAGGGUUUAUCCCUUAAAACUCAUCUUUGAUCACCAAAGUAACAUAUUUAAAUAUUUUUUCCUGUGAAAAUUUUUUUUUGCCAUGCCUUAAAAUAGCCUGAAUGUAAAUCUUCAUCCUUGCUUCAUUCAAUAUAUGCGGAUCUAUGAAUAUGCUAAUUAGCCCCGCCUCCACUCACUCGCACAAGCUCAGAGAUCCACUCAGUCAUCUUACUGAGGUAAACGCUGCACAAUGGUAUUGCUUUUUACAACGUCGGACACAAGACGGUAAACUAAACAAAGAUGUGAAAUGUUGCCUUGACAAGUAGUUAUUUUAUUUCAGUUAGUUUCAUUAAUUCAGUCAGUCAGUUGGUCAUUCAUAGUUAACGAUAAUAGCCCUGUAAUAAAUUAAGUUAAAAAUUGCUGUUCAUUGUUCCAUGAUACUUAAUGCAUCAACUAAUGUUAAUGAAACGAGUUCUAUUGUAAAAUGUUACCUGUAUUCUCAUAUUGCCUAAUGCAGUGUACAUUCCACAAAGUUUAAGUACUAAAUAGCCACAUAUUUGUGUUUUAAAUACAGGGGAAAUGCACAUUUACUGCCUAAUUACCAACGCCUGAGGAAAGCCAGAGACAUGAAGGCUUUCCAAAAAUACAGAUAGUUUUUUCUGUGUCUGAUUAAUUCUUCCCAUGCAUCCUGCCCCAGGUAAGACAUAAUAGGGCCUGUCACAGCUCCAGCUGGAUAAUUGCGGGUUUCAGGGUGUUCUUCCCUAAACAGAUAGUGACUGAUGAGUUUUACCACAUGUUUCAUCCUAAUCAGUGACUCCAUAUAGUCCCUUGUCCCACUUAUUGUCAUUGGUCAUGGUGGAAAAAGAACAAAGCAUUUUUAGCCUGGAGGCUUUGCUUGACAUCAACACAACACAACAGCUCUUAUCUGAAAAUUAAAGAGACAUACAUAAAACUAUUUGUGCAACUAACCAUAUAAUUGUGAGCAAAAUAAAUAGGCUUCUACUCUUUUAAGAGGAAGAAGAAAUGCUUCCCACAUCUUUUGUUGUUGAUGUAUAAGGCUGCUCGUCCAAUUUGGACAGGUUGUGUGACAUGCUCUCAUCCUUGAAAUCUAAGAACAAAACUACAUAAAAGAAAUAUGAGCCCAACUACAGUAAGUUGGUUAUAAUGUGAAUUUUGAGGACUACAUAGCAUUUCAGAGAAUUAUUGACUGCUGCAAGCUUGAAAUCAAUUCAAUAGAAAAAUUUUAAUGAAAUUUAGAGAUAAGAUUAUUUUGUUAUUUUAAUAUUUAACUGAAGUGUCAUUUUUCUUGAGAUAAUCCUGUAUCCUUAUGGCAAAAAAAAUAUUAAAUUAGGCCACAUUAUA
Long non-coding RNA from Ctenopharyngodon idella (grass carp), 3910 nucleotides. RefSeq lists it as uncharacterized. The record is from RefSeq and is a predicted model, not a curated record. Lineage: Eukaryota; Metazoa; Chordata; Actinopteri; Cypriniformes; Xenocyprididae. The transcript has 3 exons.